This 986-nucleotide ribosomal RNA is filed under the name Calonectria kyotensis. RNAcentral describes it as "LSU rRNA". It matches the Rfam family "Eukaryotic large subunit ribosomal RNA", at positions 1 to 1035 of the family's 3401-position model. The record is from RNAcentral. Lineage: Eukaryota; Fungi; Ascomycota; Sordariomycetes; Hypocreales; Nectriaceae.
CUGCUGGUAAAGGUCAUUACGUAUUACUUUACUUACCGGAGGAAAAGAAACCAACAGGGAUUGCCCUAGUAACGGCGAGUGAAGCGGCAACAGCUCAAAUUUGAAAUCUGGCCCUCGGGUCCGAGUUGUAAUUUGUAGAGGAUGCUUUGGGUGAGGUACCUUCCGAGUUCCCUGGAACGGGACGCCAUAGAGGGUGAGAGCCCCGUCUGGUUGGAUACCGAUCCUCUGUAAAGCUCCUUCGACGAGUCGAGUAGUUUGGGAAUGCUGCUCUAAAUGGGAGGUAUAUGUCUUCUAAAGCUAAAUACCGGCCAGAGACCGAUAGCGCACAAGUAGAGUGAUCGAAAGAUGAAAAGCACUUUGAAAAGAGAGUUAAAAAGUACGUGAAAUUGUUGAAAGGGAAGCGCUUAUGACCAGACUUGGGCUUGGUUGAUCAUCCUGGGUUCUCCCUGGUGCACUCUUCCAGUUCAGGCCAGCAUCAGUUCGCUGCGGGGGAUAAAAGCUUUAGGAAUGUGGCUCCCUCGGGAGUGUUAUAGACUAUUGCAUAAUACCCUGCUCCGGACUGAGGUUCGCGCAUCUGCAAGGAUGCUGGCGUAAUGGUCAUCAGCGACCCGUCUUGAAACACGGACCAAGGAGUCGUCUUCGUAUGCGAGUGUUCGGGUGUUAAACCCCUACGCGUAAUGAAAGUGAACGCAGGUGAGAGCUUCGGCGCAUCAUCGACCGAUCCUGAUGUUCUCGGAUGGAUUUGAGUAAGAGCAUACGGGGCCGGACCCGAAAGAAGGUGAACUAUGCCUGUAUAGGGUGAAGCCAGAGGAAACUCUGGUGGAGGCUCGCAGCGGUUCUGACGUGCAAAUCGAUCGUCAAAUAUGGGCAUGGGGGCGAAAGACUAAUCGAACCUUCUAGUAGCUGGUUUCCGCCGAAGUUUCCCUCAGGAUAGCAGUGUUGACCUCAGUUUUAUGAGGUAAAGCGAAUGAUUAGGGACUCGGGGG